This 375-nucleotide ribosomal RNA is filed under the name Pseudomonas chlororaphis. Its description in RNAcentral is "bacterial SSU rRNA". It matches the Rfam family "Bacterial small subunit ribosomal RNA", at positions 56 to 433 of the family's 1533-position model. Lineage: Bacteria; Pseudomonadati; Pseudomonadota; Gammaproteobacteria; Pseudomonadales; Pseudomonadaceae. The record is from RNAcentral.
UGCAAGUCGAGCGGUAGAGAGGUGCUUGCACCUCUUGAGAGCGGCGGACGGGUGAGUAAUGCCUAGGAAUCUGCCUGGUAGUGGGGGAUAACGUUCGGAAACGGACGCUAAUACCGCAUACGUCCUACGGGAGAAAGCAGGGGACCUUCGGGCCUUGCGCUAUCAGAUGAGCCUAGGUCGGAUUAGCUAGUUGGUGAGGUAAUGGCUCACCAAGGCGACGAUCCGUAACUGGUCUGAGAGGAUGAUCAGUCACACUGGAACUGAGACACGGUCCAGACUCCUACGGGAGGCAUCAGUGGGGAAUAUUGGACAAUGGGCGAAAGCCUGAUCCAGCCAUGCCGCGUGUGUGUAGAAGGUCUUCNGAUUGUUAUGCAC